GCCUUGAUGUGUAGGAUAGGUGGGAGGCUUUGAAGUGUGGACGCCAGUCUGCAUGGAGCCGACCUUGAAAUACCACCCUUUAAUGUUUGAUGUUCUAACGUGGACCCGUUACCCGGGUUGCGGACAGUGUCUGGUGGGUAGUUUGACUGGGGCGGUCUCCUCCUAAAGAGUAACGGAGGAGCACGAAGGUUGGCUAAUCCUGGUCGGACAUCAGGAGGUUAGUGCAAUGGCAUAAGCCAGCUUGACUGCGAGCGUGACGGCGCGAGCAGGUGCGAAAGCAGGUCAUAGUGAUCCGGUGGUUCUGAAUGGAAGGGCCAUCGCUCAACGGAUAAAAGGUACUCCGGGGAUAACAGGCUGAUACCGCCCAAGAGUUCAUAUCGACGGCGGUGUUUGGCACCUCGAUGUCGGCUCAUCACAUCCUGGGGCUGAAGUAGGUCCCAAGGGUAUGGCUGUUCGCCAUUUAAAGUGGUACGCGAGCUGGGUUUAGAACGUCGUGAGACAGUUCGGUCCCUAUCUGCCGUGGGCGCUGGAGAACUGAGGGGGGCUGCUCCUAGUACGAGAGGACCGGAGUGGACGCAUCACUGGUGUUCGGGUUGUCAUGCCAAUGGCACUGCCCGGUAGCUAAAUGCGGAAGAGAUAAGUGCUGAAAGCAUCUAAGCACGAAACUUGCCCCGA
This 675-nucleotide ribosomal RNA is filed under the name Salmonella enterica subsp. enterica serovar Blockley. Its description in RNAcentral is "partial 23S ribosomal RNA". It matches the Rfam family "Bacterial large subunit ribosomal RNA", at positions 2128 to 2802 of the family's 2925-position model. The record is from RNAcentral. RNAcentral also lists the same sequence under 2 other names. Lineage: Bacteria; Pseudomonadati; Pseudomonadota; Gammaproteobacteria; Enterobacterales; Enterobacteriaceae.